This 496-nucleotide ribosomal RNA is filed under the name uncultured bacterium. RNAcentral describes it as "partial 16S ribosomal RNA". It matches the Rfam family "Bacterial small subunit ribosomal RNA", at positions 28 to 506 of the family's 1533-position model. The record is from RNAcentral.
GAUGAACGCUGGCGGCGUGCCUAAUACAUGCAAGUCGAGCGAACAGAUAAGGAGCUUGCUCCUUUGACGUUAGCGGCGGACGGGUGAGUAACACGUGGGUAACCUACCUAUAAGACUGGAAUAACUCCGGGAAACCGGGGCUAAUGCCGGAUAACAUUUAGAACCGCAUGGUUCUAAAGUGAAAGAUGGUUUUGCUAUCACUUAUAGAUGGACCCGCGCCGUAUUAGCUAGUUGGUAAGGUAACGGCUUACCAGGGCAACGAUACGUAGCCGACCUGAGAGGGGAAUGGGCCACACGGGAACGAGGACACGGUCCAGACUCCUACGGGAGGCAGAAGGAGGGAAUUUUCCGCAAUGGGCGAAAGCCUGAGGGAGCAACGCCGGGGGGGUGAAGAAGGUCUUGGGAUCGAAAAACCCUUUUAUUAGGGAAAAAAAAAUGUGUAAGUAACUGGGCACGUUUUGGCGGUACCUAAUCAGAAAGCCACGGCUAACUACGU